UUGCUUCAGCAGCAGAUAUCCUCAAAUGGGAACCAUGCACAGAUUAGCAUGGCUCCUGCACAAGGAUAACACACAAAUUUGUGAACCAUUUUCUACUUUU
Molecule: small nuclear RNA, 100 nt
Organism: Homo sapiens (human)
Lineage: Eukaryota; Metazoa; Chordata; Mammalia; Primates; Hominidae
Source: Ensembl